This 459-nucleotide ribosomal RNA is filed under the name uncultured bacterium. RNAcentral's name for it is "partial 16S ribosomal RNA". It matches the Rfam family "Bacterial small subunit ribosomal RNA", at positions 339 to 795 of the family's 1533-position model. The record is from RNAcentral.
CUACGGGCGGCAGCAGUAAGGAAUAUUGCGCAAUGGAGGCAACUCUGACGCAGCCAUGCCGCGUGCAGGAAGAAGGCCUUAUGGGUCGUAAACUGCUUUUAUUUAGGAAUAAACCCCCGAACGUGUUCGGGGCUGAAGGUACUAAACGAAUAAGCACCGGCUAACUCCGUGCCAGCAGCCGCGGUAAUACGGAGGGUGCAAGCGUUAUCCGGAUUUAUUGGGUUUAAAGGGUGCGCAGGCGGGCUAUUAAGUCAGUUGUGAAAUCCCGGGGCUCAACUCCGGAACUGCCAUUGAUACUGAUAGUCUUGAGUUUGGUUGAAGUGGGCGGAAUGUAGCAUGUAGCGGUGAAAUGCAUAGAUAUGCUACAGAACACCAAUCGCGAAGGCAGCUCACUAAGCCAAAACUGACGCUCAUGCACGAAAGCGUGGGGAUCAGACAGGAUUAGAUACCCCCGUAGUC